Molecule: ribosomal RNA, 254 nt
Filed under: uncultured bacterium
Lineage: Bacteria
Description: partial 16S ribosomal RNA
Rfam family: Bacterial small subunit ribosomal RNA
Source: RNAcentral
UACGGAGGGUGCGAGCGUUGUCCGGAAUCAUUGGGCGUAAAGGGCGCGUAGGUGGCCCGGUCAGUUCGUGGUGAAAGCGCGGGGCUCAACCCUGCGUCGGCCAUGAAUACUGCCGCGGCUGGAGCACUGUAGAGGCAGGCGGAAUUCCGGGUGUAGCGGUGGAAUGCGUAGAGAUCCGGAAGAACACCGGAGGCGAAGGCGGCUUGCUGGGCGUGAUCUGACGCUGAGGCGCGAAAGCGUGGGGAGCGAACAGG